Termitomyces sp. Mi166#008 is the source of this 98-nucleotide non-coding RNA. The record is from the annotation of a GenBank genome assembly. NCBI's taxonomy places the organism in Eukaryota, Fungi, Basidiomycota, Agaricomycetes, Agaricales, Lyophyllaceae.
GGGCACAUGGUGUAGUUGGUUAUCACGCCCGCUUAGCAUUUGUUGGUUGUUAAUUGCUGAUUUGCGGGCGGUCCCCGGUUCAAUUCCGGGUGUGUCCA